GACGAACGCUGGCGGCGUGCUUAACACAUGCAAGUCGAACGGAAAGGCCCUGCUUUUGUGGGGUGCUCGAGUGGCGAACGGGUGAGUAACACGUGAGUAACCUGCCCUUGACUUUGGGAUAACUUCAGGAAACUGGGGCUAAUACCGGAUAGGAGCUCCUGCUGCAUGGUGGGGGUUGGAAAGUUUCGGCGGUUGGGGAUGGACUCGCGGCUUAUCAGCUUGUGGGUGGGGUAGUGGCUUACCAAGGCUUUGACGGGUAGCCGGCCUGAGAGGGUGACCGGCCACAUUGGGACUGAGCUACGGCCCAGAGUCCUGCGGGAGGCAGCAGUGGGGAAUAUUGCACGAUGGGCGGAAGCCUGAUGCAGCAACGCCGCGUGCGGGAUGACGGCCUUCGGGUUGUAAACCGCUUUCGCCUGUGACGAAGCGUGAGUGACGGUAAUGGGUAAAGAAGCACCGGCUAACUACGUG
Molecule: ribosomal RNA, 468 nt
Filed under: uncultured bacterium
Lineage: Bacteria
Description: partial 16S ribosomal RNA
Rfam family: Bacterial small subunit ribosomal RNA
Source: RNAcentral